GAUGAACGCUGGCGGCGUGCCUAAUACAUGCAAGUCGAGCGAACAGAUGAUGAGCUUGCUCCUCUGACGUUAGCGGCGGACUGGUGAGUAACACGUUGAUAACCUACCUAUAAGACUGGGAUAACUUCGGGAAACCGGAGCUAAUACCGUAUAAUAUAUUGAACCUCAUGGUUCAAUAGUGAAAGACGGUUUUGCUGUCAUUUAUAGAUGGAUCCGCGCCGAAUUAUCUAGUUGGUAAGGUAACGGCUUACCAAGGCAACGAUGCGUAGCCGACCUGAGAGGGUGAUCGGCCACACUGGAACUGAGACACGGUCCAGACUCCUACGGGAGGCAGCAGUAGGGAAUCUUCCGAAAUGGGCGAAAGCCUGACGGAGCAACGCCGCGUGAGUGAUGAAGGUCUUCGGAUCGUAAAACUCUGUUAUUAGGGAAGAACAAAUGUGUAAGUAACUAUGCACGUCUUGACGGUACCUAAUCAGAAAGCCACGGCUAACUACGUG
RNAcentral lists this ribosomal RNA (497 nucleotides) under uncultured bacterium. Its description in RNAcentral is "partial 16S ribosomal RNA". It matches the Rfam family "Bacterial small subunit ribosomal RNA", at positions 28 to 507 of the family's 1533-position model. The record is from RNAcentral.